Molecule: ribosomal RNA, 732 nt
Filed under: uncultured bacterium
Lineage: Bacteria
Description: bacterial SSU rRNA
Rfam family: Bacterial small subunit ribosomal RNA
Source: RNAcentral
GAUGAACGCUGACAGAAUGCUUAACACAUGCAAGUCUACUUGAAGCUAACUUCGGUUAGUGGAGGGUGGCGGACGGGUGAGUAACGCGUAAAGAACUUGCCUCACAGUUUGGGACAACAUUUGGAAACGAAUGCUAAUACCGGAUAUUAUGAUACUUCUGCAUGGAAGAAUCAUGAAAGCUAUAUGCGCUGUGAGAGAGCUUUGCGUCCCAUUAGCUAGUUGGAGAGGUAACGGCUCACCAAGGCGAUGAUGGGUAGCCGGCCUGAGAGGGUGAACGGCCACAAGGGGACUGAGACACGGCCCUUACUCCUACGGGAGGCAGCAGUGGGGAAUAUUGGACAAUGGACCAAAAGUCUGAUCCAGCAAUUCUGUGUGCACGAUGAAGUUUUUCGGAAUGUAAAGUGCUUUCAGUUGGGAAGAAGCAAGUGACGGUACCAACAGAAGAAGCGACGGCUAAAUACGUGCCAGCAGCCGCGGUAAUACGUAUGUCGCAAGCGUUAUCCGGAUUUAUUGGGCGUAAAGCGCGCCUAGGUGGUUAUAUAAGUCUGAUGUGAAAAUGCGGGGCUCAACUCCGUAUUGCGUUGGAAACUGUAUGACUAGAGUACUGGAGAGGUAAGCGGAACUACAAGUGUAGAGGUGAAAUUCGUAGAUAUUUGUAGGAAUGCCGAUGGGGAAGCCAGCUUACUGGACAGAUACUGACGCUAAAGCGCGAAAGCGUGGGUAGCAAACAGG